Molecule: ribosomal RNA, 196 nt
Filed under: uncultured bacterium
Lineage: Bacteria
Description: partial 16S ribosomal RNA
Rfam family: Bacterial small subunit ribosomal RNA
Source: RNAcentral
ACGCUCGACACCUACGGGAGGCAGCAGUGGGGAAUAUUGCACAAUGGGGGAAACCCUGAUGCAGCGAUGCCGCGUGAAGGAAGAAGUAUCUCGGUAUGUAAACUUCUAUCAGCAGGGAAGAAAAUGACGGUACCUGACUAAGAAGCCCCGGCUAACUACGUACCAGCAGCCGCGGUAAUCUGAGCGGCUGGCAGGC